Molecule: ribosomal RNA, 253 nt
Filed under: uncultured bacterium
Lineage: Bacteria
Description: partial 16S ribosomal RNA
Rfam family: Bacterial small subunit ribosomal RNA
Source: RNAcentral
UACGUAGGGGGCAAGCGUUGUCCGGAUUUAUUGGGCGGAAAGCGCGCGUAGGCGGCGCGGUAUGUCGGGCGUGAAAUCUCCCGGCUUAACUGGGAGGGGCCGUGCGAAACUGCCGGGCUUGAGGUCGGAAGGGGAAAGUGGAAUUCCGGGUGUAGUGGUGGAAUACGUAGAUAUCCGGAGGAACACCAGCGGCGAAGGCGGCUUUCUGGUCCGAUACUGACGCUGAGACGCGAAAGCGUGGGGAGCGAACAGG